CCUUUGACGUUAGCGGCGGACGGGUGAGUAACACGUGGGUAACCUACCUAUAAGACUGGGAUAACUUCGGGAAACCGGAGCUAAUACCGGAUAAUAUUUCGAACCGCAUGGUUCGAUAGUGAAAGAUGGUUUUGCUAUCACUUAUAGAUGGACCUGCGCCGUAUUAGCUAGUUGGUAAGGUAACGGCUUACCAAGGCGACGAUACGUAGCCGACCUGAAAGGGUGAUCGGCCACACUGGAACUGAGACACGGUCCAGACUCCUACGGGAGGCAGCAGUA
This 279-nucleotide ribosomal RNA is filed under the name uncultured Staphylococcus sp. Its description in RNAcentral is "partial 16S ribosomal RNA". It matches the Rfam family "Bacterial small subunit ribosomal RNA", at positions 83 to 355 of the family's 1533-position model. The record is from RNAcentral. Lineage: Bacteria; Bacillati; Bacillota; Bacilli; Caryophanales; Staphylococcaceae.